This 792-nucleotide ribosomal RNA is filed under the name Rhodymenia pseudopalmata. RNAcentral's name for it is "eukaryotic LSU rRNA". It matches the Rfam family "Eukaryotic large subunit ribosomal RNA", at positions 215 to 1086 of the family's 3401-position model. Lineage: Eukaryota; Rhodophyta; Florideophyceae; Rhodymeniales; Rhodymeniaceae. The record is from RNAcentral.
AGAGCCCCGUCCAGCCCAUUCAGGACGUCUCGCACAAGAGUUAUCAUUCGAGUCGGGUAGCUUGGGAAUGCUGCUCUAAUUGGUGGUAAAUCUCAUCAAAGGCUAAAUACCGGUGGGAGACCGAUAGUGAACAAGUACCGCGAGGGAAAGAUGACAAGCACUUUGAAAAGAGGGUGAAAAGAGCCUGAAACCGUUACGGGGGAAGCGGAUUGCGUUGGAUUGGUGGCUGUUUGCAUGUUCAGCCUUUUUUGGUGUACUCAUGCCUGCAGUUAUCCGUCGUGGCUUUCUUGUAGCUGAUUUUGAGCUGCAGGAGGGUGAGGGAUCCCCUUUAUGGGUUGAGGACGACGGAGUGACGACGCGAUACGACCCGUCUUGAAACACGGACCAAGGAGUCUAGCACUAUUGCAAGUCGAAGGGUGUUAAAACCUGUGGGCGCAGUGAAAGCAAACUCUAAAACGAGCAGUUUGAGGCGGCAUAAAAUCGUUGAUUUUAGGUCUGACCUAGAGCAGUUGUGCUGGGACCCGAAAGAUGGUGAACUAUGCCUGAGUAGGGCAAAGCCAGAAGAAAUUCUGGUGGAGGCUCGUAGCGGUGCUGACGUGCAAAUCGCUCGUCGAACUUGGGUAUAGGGGCGAAAGACUCAUCGAACCAUCUAGUAGCUGGUUCCCUCCGAAGUUUCUCUCAGGAUAGCAGGUCGACAGACGUUGUUUUGUGCGGUAAAGCGAAUGAUUAGCGCAAUCGGGGGCGUUUAGCCUUCGGGCGAUUCUCAAACUUUAAAUGCGCAAGGGUACCGGU